GUGGGGAAUUUUGGACAAUGGGCGCAAGCCUGAUCCAGCAAUGCCGCGUGCAGGAAGAAGGCCUUCGGGUUGUAAACUGCUUUUGUACGGAACGAAACGGUCCUGGCUAAUACCUGGGGCUAAUGACGGUACCGUAAGAAUAAGCACCGGCUAACUACGUGCCAGCAGCCGCGGUAAUACGUAGGGUGCGAGCGUUAAUCGGAAUUACUGGGCGUAAAGCGUGCGCAGGCGGUGCUGUAAGACAGGCGUGAAAUCCCCGGGCUCAACCUGGGAAUUGCGCUUGUGACUGCAGUGCUGGAGUGCGGCAGAGGGGGAUGGAAUUCCGCGUGUAGCAGUGAAAUGCGUAGAUAUGCGGAGGAACACCGAUGGCGAAGGCAAUCCCCUGGGCCUGCACUGACGCUCAUGCACGAAAGCGUGGGGAGCAAACAGGAUUAGAAACCCGAGUAGUCC
RNAcentral lists this ribosomal RNA (450 nucleotides) under uncultured bacterium. Its description in RNAcentral is "partial 16S ribosomal RNA". It matches the Rfam family "Bacterial small subunit ribosomal RNA", at positions 354 to 796 of the family's 1533-position model. The record is from RNAcentral.